RNAcentral lists this unclassified non-coding RNA (243 nucleotides) under air metagenome. RNAcentral describes it as "partial contains small subunit ribosomal RNA, internal transcribed spacer 1, and 5.8S ribosomal RNA". The stretch from base 1 to 46 matches the Rfam family "Eukaryotic small subunit ribosomal RNA", at positions 1786 to 1831 of the family's 1831-position model. The record is from RNAcentral.
AAGUCGUAACAAGGUUUCCGUAGGUGAACCUGCGGAAGGAUCAUUACUGAGUUAUGGCCGUCGAGAGUAAUCUCGGGCCGCAUCUCCUUCCCUCUUACCGACUCGCGUUGCUUUGGCGGGCCGUCGGUCCCCGCCGGUGGCCUCUGGGUCACCGUGUGCCCGCCGGAGACCCCCAAAAUCCACAUUGAAGUCAGAGUGAAAGUUAAAUCAUGAAAACCCUCAACAACGGAUCUCUUGGUUCUG